CAAAGUUGCAGAGAUUGAAAAUAGUACUAUUCCGAUCUUUUUGGACUCGUAUACUGUUCUUUCUAUACGCGUGCAGCUAUCUACCCUACCUGUAUACCUAUAUACCGACAGAGUAAUGGGGUAAUAAAUAAGCACGCUGCUGUUGUUGGAUUAUCGAAGAAAUACAAGAAUUCAAAAUUUAUAUUAUCAACUCGUUGGAUAAAUCGUAUAAAAACAAUCGCAAUAUAAGUAGGUAUUCAAAUACCUAGACGUAUACAAAGUUAACGAAAGUGAAAAAUGUUACGACUAAAUAUCACAAUAGGUACCUAUUGAAUAAGUAUAUUACAGUUAUAAGUAAAUUUAAUGUUAUGCUUUAGAAAUGAUGCAAUUUUUUAGAUCCAUCACGGAGAUGGGGCUACGAGAAGAAGAGCACAGCCUGCCAUACAAACCCCUUGAGCUUUAGCACAAAGAACCAAUGCCGCAGGAGUUCCAACUCCGAAAGUAACUGCAAUUACGUACAAAAUGUUUUCAAAUUUCUGAUGGCAUUUAAACGUAAAAAAGUACUUUUCGAUUGAAACUUACCAGUACCCAUUGUAGUUCCUCCUGCAGCAAAGCACGCAGCAGCAACUACGUUGCAUCCAGUCUGGCAAAGCCCGUAUGUAAGUGGACCGGCGAAGGCGCCAUUAUUACAUAAGAACAAAAUUAAUACGAAAAAUAAUAAUUGCUUCAUGUUUCUUAUCAAAAUGUUUAACGCACAAAAAGUUUUCACAGAAUUACAGAUUGAAAUUCCACGUUCAAUUUAGAGCACAGCGAACACAGCUGCCUCAAGUAAUGCGAUCCUUUUCUUUCUAUGAAUACAUACGUCCACUUGAUGAAGAAGAAAGGAUGCCAUGAGAUCAGAUGAAGUAAUUACGAGUGAAUUCGAUUCGAUCAAUCAUCGACCUUACAGAUAAAUCAAUUUCAACGAAAGGGGAAAGGGGUUUCAAUCAAAUAGAAAAAUUGCGAUAUUUCACCACACCUGGAAUGAUGAUUUAUC
Planococcus citri (citrus mealybug) is the source of this 1015-nucleotide long non-coding RNA. RefSeq lists it as uncharacterized. The transcript is spliced from 3 exons. Lineage: Eukaryota; Metazoa; Arthropoda; Insecta; Hemiptera; Pseudococcidae. The record is from RefSeq and is a predicted model, not a curated record.